This 265-nucleotide ribosomal RNA is filed under the name uncultured bacterium. RNAcentral describes it as "partial 16S ribosomal RNA". It matches the Rfam family "Bacterial small subunit ribosomal RNA", at positions 793 to 1055 of the family's 1533-position model. The record is from RNAcentral.
GUCCACGCCGUAAACUAUGGAUACUAGAUGUCGGGAGAUCUUACCCUCUCGGUGUCGUAGUUAACACGUUAAGUAUCCCGCCUGGGAAGUACGGCCGCAAGGUUAAAACUCAAAGAAAUUGACGGGGGCCCGCACAAGCGGUGGAGUAUGUGGUUCAAUUCGAUGCAACGCGAAAAACCUUACCUGGGCUUGACAUCCCGUGCAUAACCAUGAAAGUGGUGAAAUCCCUUCGGGGACGCGGAGACAGGUGCUGCAUGGCUGUCGU